RNAcentral lists this ribosomal RNA (2908 nucleotides) under Salmonella enterica subsp. salamae. RNAcentral's name for it is "23S ribosomal RNA". It matches the Rfam family "Bacterial large subunit ribosomal RNA". The record is from RNAcentral. Lineage: Bacteria; Pseudomonadati; Pseudomonadota; Gammaproteobacteria; Enterobacterales; Enterobacteriaceae.
GGUUAAGCGACCAAGCGUACACGGUGGAUGCCCUGGCAGUCAGAGGCGAUGAAGGACGUGCUAAUCUGCGAUAAGCGCCGGUAAGGUGAUAUGAACCGUUAUAACCGGCGAUUUCCGAAUGGGGAAACCCAGUGUGACUCGUCACACUAUCAUUAACUGAAUCCAUAGGUUAAUGAGGCGAACCGGGGGAACUGAAACAUCUAAGUACCCCGAGGAAAAGAAAUCAACCGAGAUUCCCCCAGUAGCGGCGAGCGAACGGGGAGGAGCCCAGAGCCUGAAUCAGCAUGUGUGUUAGUGGAAGCGUCUGGAAAGGCGCGCGAUACAGGGUGACAGCCCCGUACACAAAAGCGCAUGUGCUGUGAGCUCGAUGAGUAGGGCGGGACACGUGGUAUCCUGUCUGAAUAUGGGGGGACCAUCCUCCAAGGCUAAAUACUCCUGACUGACCGAUAGUGAACCAGUACCGUGAGGGAAAGGCGAAAAGAACCCCGGCGAGGGGAGUGAAACAGAACCUGAAACCGUGUACGUACAAGCAGUGGGAGCACAGGUUUACCUGUGUGACUGCGUACCUUUUGUAUAAUGGGUCAGCGACUUAUAUUCUGUAGCAAGGUUAACCGUAUAGGGGAGCCGAAGGGAAACCGAGUCUUAAUUGGGCGUUAAGUUGCAGGGUAUAGACCCGAAACCCGGUGAUCUAGCCAUGGGCAGGUUGAAGGUUGGGUAACACUAACUGGAGGACCGAACCGACUAAUGUUGAAAAAUUAGCGGAUGACCUGUGGCUGGGGGUGAAAGGCCAAUCAAACCGGGAGAUAGCUGGUUCUCCCCGAAAGCUAUUUAGGUAGCGCCUCGUGAAUUCAUCUCCGGGGGUAGAGCACUGUUUCGGCUAGGGGGCCAUCCCGGCUUACCAACCCGAUGCAAACUGCGAAUACCGGAGAAUGUUAUCACGGGAGACACACGGCGGGUGCUAACGUCCGUCGUGAAGAGGGAAACAACCCAGACCGCCAGCUAAGGUCCCAAAGUCAUGGUUAAGUGGGAAACGAUGUGGGAAGGCCCAGACAGCCAGGAUGUUGGCUUAGAAGCAGCCAUCAUUUAAAGAAAGCGUAAUAGCUCACUGGUCGAGUCGGCCUGCGCGGAAGAUGUAACGGGGCUAAACCAUGCACCGAAGCUGCGGCAGCGACGCUUAUGCGUUGUUGGGUAGGGGAGCGUUCUGUAAGCCUGUGAAGGUGGCCUGUGAGGGUUGCUGGAGGUAUCAGAAGUGCGAAUGCUGACAUAAGUAACGAUAAAGCGGGUGAAAAGCCCGCUCGCCGGAAGACCAAGGGUUCCUGUCCAACGUUAAUCGGGGCAGGGUGAGUCGACCCCUAAGGCGAGGCCGAAAGGCGUAGUCGAUGGGAAACGGGUUAAUAUUCCCGUACUUGGUGUUACUGCGAAGGGGGGACGGAGAAGGCUAUGUUGGCCGGGCGACGGUUGUCCCGGUUUAAGCGUGUAGGUGUGUGUUCCAGGUAAAUCCGGUUCACUUUAACACUGAGGCGUGACGACGAGGCACCACGGUGCUGAAGCAACAAAUGCCCUGCUUCCAGGAAAAGCCUCUAAGCAUCAGGUAACAUCAAAUCGUACCCCAAACCGACACAGGUGGUCAGGUAGAGAAUACCAAGGCGCUUGAGAGAACUCGGGUGAAGGAACUAGGCAAAAUGGUGCCGUAACUUCGGGAGAAGGCACGCUGACACGUAGGUGAAGUGAUUUACUCACGGAGCUGAAGUCAGUCGAAGAUACCAGCUGGCUGCAACUGUUUAUUAAAAACACAGCACUGUGCAAACACGAAAGUGGACGUAUACGGUGUGACGCCUGCCCGGUGCCGGAAGGUUAAUUGAUGGGGUCAGCGCAAGCGAAGCUCCUGAUCGAAGCCCCGGUAAACGGCGGCCGUAACUAUAACGGUCCUAAGGUAGCGAAAUUCCUUGUCGGGUAAGUUCCGACCUGCACGAAUGGCGUAAUGAUGGCCAGGCUGUCUCCACCCGAGACUCAGUGAAAUUGAACUCGCUGUGAAGAUGCAGUGUACCCGCGGCAAGACGGAAAGACCCCGUGAACCUUUACUAUAGCUUGACACUGAACAUUGAGCCUUGAUGUGUAGGAUAGGUGGGAGGCUUUGAAGCGUGGACGCCAGUCUGCGUGGAGCCAACCUUGAAAUACCACCCUUUAAUGUUUGAUGUUCUAACGUGGACCCGUGAUCCGGGUUGCGGACAGUGUCUGGUGGGUAGUUUGACUGGGGCGGUCUCCUCCUAAAGAGUAACGGAGGAGCACGAAGGUUGGCUAAUCCUGGUCGGACAUCAGGAGGUUAGUGCAAUGGCAUAAGCCAGCUUGACUGCGAGCGUGACGGCGCGAGCAGGUGCGAAAGCAGGUCAUAGUGAUCCGGUGGUUCUGAAUGGAAGGGCCAUCGCUCAACGGAUAAAAGGUACUCCGGGGAUAACAGGCUGAUACCGCCCAAGAGUUCAUAUCGACGGCGGUGUUUGGCACCUCGAUGUCGGCUCAUCACAUCCUGGGGCUGAAGUAGGUCCCAAGGGUAUGGCUGUUCGCCAUUUAAAGUGGUACGCGAGCUGGGUUUAGAACGUCGUGAGACAGUUCGGUCCCUAUCUGCCGUGGGCGCUGGAGAACUGAGGGGGGCUGCUCCUAGUACGAGAGGACCGGAGUGGACGCAUCACUGGUGUUCGGGUUGUCAUGCCAAUGGCACUGCCCGGUAGCUAAAUGCGGAAGAGAUAAGUGCUGAAAGCAUCUAAGCACGAAACUUGCCCCGAGAUAAGUUCUCCCUGAGACUUUAAGUCUCCUGAAGGAACGUUGAAGACGACGACGUUGAUAGGCCGGGUGUGUAAGCGCAGCGAUGCGUUGAGCUAACCGGUACUAAUGAACCGUGAGGCUUAACCUU